Molecule: ribosomal RNA, 253 nt
Filed under: uncultured bacterium
Lineage: Bacteria
Description: partial 16S ribosomal RNA
Rfam family: Bacterial small subunit ribosomal RNA
Source: RNAcentral
UACGAAGGUGGCAAGCGUUGUUCGGAAUCACUGGGCUUAAAGCGCACGCAGGCGGGCGAUUAAGUGUCUUGUGAAAGCCCUCGGCUUAACCGGGGAAUUGCUGGGCAAACUGAUCGUCUUGAGGCAAGUAGGGGCGAGUGGAACUCUUGGUGGAGCGGUGGAAUGCGUAGAUAUCAAGAGGAACGUCGGAGGCGAAGGCGACUCGCUGGGCUUGUCCUGACGCUGAGGUGCGAAAGCCAGGGGAGCAAACGGG